Molecule: non-coding RNA, 30 nt
Filed under: Rattus norvegicus (Norway rat)
Lineage: Eukaryota; Metazoa; Chordata; Mammalia; Rodentia; Muridae
Source: RNAcentral
UCCUGAUGAUGACCCACAUUCCUUGGUACC